GGUUUUUUGAAUUUAUAUGAAAAAUCUGACCUGCCCAAUGAUAAUUAAAUGGCCGCGGUAUUUUGACCGUGCGAAGGUAGCAUAAUCAUUAGUCUUUUAAUUGGGGACUGGAAUGAAUGGUUGGACGUGAUAAUAGCUUUUUUAAUUUUAACUAUUGAGUUUUACUUUUUGGUGAAGAGGCCAAAAUUUGACUAAAAGACAAGAAGACCCUAUUAAGUUUUAUUAUGACCGUGUUUAUAAUUAUAAGUGAUGUAAAAUGCGGAUUAAUUUUACUGGGGCGGUAAAUUAGAACUUAUUAUGAUCCAUAAUUUAUGAUUGUUUGAUUAAAUUACUAUAGGGAUAACAGCGUAAUCUUAUUUGAGAGUUCAUAUCGACGAUAAGGGUUGCGACCUCGAUGUUGGAUUAGAAUACCUUUUUGGAGCAGAAUCUAGAAGUGGUGGUCUGUUCGACCAUAAAAAUUCUACA
RNAcentral lists this ribosomal RNA (465 nucleotides) under Dendrothereua sp. MCZ IZ-89420. Its description in RNAcentral is "partial large subunit ribosomal RNA". It matches the Rfam family "Bacterial large subunit ribosomal RNA", at positions 1819 to 2600 of the family's 2925-position model. The record is from RNAcentral. Lineage: Eukaryota; Metazoa; Arthropoda; Chilopoda; Scutigeromorpha; Scutigeridae.